This 920-nucleotide ribosomal RNA is filed under the name uncultured bacterium. RNAcentral describes it as "bacterial SSU rRNA". It matches the Rfam family "Bacterial small subunit ribosomal RNA", at positions 33 to 942 of the family's 1533-position model. The record is from RNAcentral.
ACGCUGGCGGCAUGCUUUACACAUGCAAGUCGGACGGCAGCACAGAGAAGCUUGCUUCUUGGGUGGCGAGUGGCGAACGGGUGAGUAAUAUAUCGGAACGUACCGAGUAAUGGGGGAUAACUAAUCGAAAGAUUAGCUAAUACCGCAUAUUCUCUGAGGAGGAAAGCAGGGGACCUUCGGGCCUUGCGUUAUUCGAGCGGCCGAUAUCUGAUUAGCUAGUUGGUGGGGUAAAGGCCUACCAAGGCGACGAUCAGUAGCGGGUCUGAGAGGAUGAUCCGCCACACUGGGACUGAGACACGGCCCAGACUCCUACGGGAGGCAGCAGUGGGGAAUUUUGGACAAUGGGCGCAAGCCUGAUCCAGCCAUGCCGCGUGUCUGAAGAAGGCCUUCGGGUUGUAAAGGACUUUUGUCAGGGAAGAAAAGGCUGUUGCUAAUACCGACAGCUGAUGACGGUACCUGAAGAAUAAGCACCGGCUAACUACGUGCCAGCAGCCGCGGUAAUACGUAGGGUGCGAGCGUUGAUCGGAAUUACUGGGCGUAAAGCGAGCGCAGACGGUUACUUAAGCAGGAUGUGAAAUCCCCGGGCUCAACCUGGGAACUGCGUUCUGAACUGGGUGACUAGAGUGUGUCAGAGGGAGGUAGAAUUCCACGUGUAGCAGUGAAAUGCGUAGAGAUGUGGAGGAAUACCGAUGGCGAAGGCAGCCUCCUGGGAUAACACUGACGUUCAUGCUCGAAAGCGUGGGUAGCAAACAGGAUUAGAUACCCUGGUAGUCCACGCCCUAAACGAUGUCAAUUAGCUGUUGGGCAACUUGAUUGCUUAGUAGCGUAGCUAACGCGUGAAAUUGACCGCCUGGGGAGUACGGUCGCAAGAUUAAAACUCAAAGGAAUUGACGGGGACCCGCACAAGCGGUGGAUGAUGU